Hippocampus zosterae (dwarf seahorse) is the source of this 326-nucleotide long non-coding RNA. RefSeq lists it as uncharacterized. The transcript is spliced from 2 exons. NCBI's taxonomy places the organism in Eukaryota, Metazoa, Chordata, Actinopteri, Syngnathiformes, Syngnathidae. The record is from RefSeq and is a predicted model, not a curated record.
CACUGAGAAUAGUCCAUUUAGAGAGGGGAACAUAACAGGAAAUUGCAGAAGGAAAGUUUUCUUCUCCACAGACUGAAUUCAGCAAAGGUGACUCUUUAACAAACUAAUUUGAUGCUUCACGAGGGGGCCAUUCCAUAGCAGUGGGAUGGAGACGAUGGCGGUGAGUCGGUGACUGACCUCCUGGUACGAGUCAGGUCUUUGCUGCGGGGGAAGUAGGAUGACAUCUCCCUUCUAGAGCUUCUCUCGCCUCCAGGUAACAGAUGCAAAGAUUCCCUCAAGCACCAGAGCCCAUGCUGGCACUCCAGGGAAUCCGGAGUGAAAACAGG